Molecule: ribosomal RNA, 250 nt
Filed under: uncultured bacterium
Lineage: Bacteria
Description: partial 16S ribosomal RNA
Rfam family: Bacterial small subunit ribosomal RNA
Source: RNAcentral
UAAGGAAUCUUCCACAAUGGGCGAAAGCCUGAUGGAGCGACGCCGCGUGAAGGAUGAAGGUCGAAAGGUUGUAAACUUCUUUUCUGAGGGAGCAUAAUGAGAGUACUUCAGGAAUAAGGGACGGCAAAUCACGUGCCAGCAGCCGCGGUAAUACGUGAGUCCCAAGCAUUGCCCGGAAUCACUGGGUGUAAAGAGUUUGUAGGUGGUUUGAUAAGUAGAGUGUGAAAGACCGAAGCUUAACUUCGUGUUU